AAGGUUAUAGAUCCUUCAGUUCUUUGCCGCUUGAGCGGUCAGACCGAUCUACUGGCCGCUCCCCUCCGGGACCCUCCAGAAAUGGUAUUGAUGAUUCUGAUUGGAGGUCAAUCUCCAGGCUGUUCUUCCCUCCUUGGUGGCUCUGGUUGUGGCAGGGCCCUCGGUCGAUCCUCCCUACCUUCAGGCCAGCAUCGGAUGAAUCUGUCGAGCCGACCCCGCCUGAUGAGCUCCUCGAUUUCAUCUCGGAGCUGAAUGCAUUCCUCUG
Molecule: long non-coding RNA, 265 nt
Filed under: Elaeis guineensis (African oil palm)
Lineage: Eukaryota; Viridiplantae; Streptophyta; Magnoliopsida; Arecales; Arecaceae
Description: long non-coding RNA (EGUI_LNC051291)
Source: RNAcentral